RNAcentral lists this ribosomal RNA (468 nucleotides) under uncultured bacterium. Its description in RNAcentral is "partial 16S ribosomal RNA". It matches the Rfam family "Bacterial small subunit ribosomal RNA", at positions 28 to 507 of the family's 1533-position model. The record is from RNAcentral.
GACGAACGCUGGCGGCGUGCUUAACACAUGCAAGUCGAACGGAAAGGCCCGGCUUUUGUGGGGUGCUCGAGUGGCGAACGGGGGAGUAACACGUGAGUAACCUGUCCUUGACUUUGGGAUAACUUCAGGGAACUGGGGCUAAUACCGGAUAUAAGCUCCUGCUGCGUGGUGGGGGUUGGAAAGUUUCGGCGGUUGGGGAUGGACUCGCGGCUUAUCAGCUUGUUGGUGGGGUAGUGGCUUACCAAGGCUUUGACGGGUAGCCGGCCUGAGAGGGUGAACGGCCACAUUGGGACUGAGAUACGGCGCAGACUCCUACGUGAGGCAGCAGUGGGGAAUAUUGCGCAAUGGGGGGAAGCCAGAUGCAGCAACGCCGCGUGCGUGAUGACGGCCUUCGGGUUGUAAACCGCUUUGGCCUGUGACGAAGCGUGAGUGACGGUAAUGGGUAAAGAAGCACCGGCUAACUACGUG